RNAcentral lists this long non-coding RNA (585 nucleotides) under Salmo salar (Atlantic salmon). RNAcentral describes it as "lncRNA (ENSSSAG00000087585.1)". The record is from RNAcentral. Lineage: Eukaryota; Metazoa; Chordata; Actinopteri; Salmoniformes; Salmonidae.
CCCUGUUCUGAGAGACACUAUGGGGGGUGUCCCCUGUUCUGAGAGACACUAUGGGGGUGUCCCCCGUUCUGAAAGACACUAUGGGGGUGUCCCCCGUUCUGAAAGACACUAUGGGGAUGUCCCCCGUUCUGAAAGACACUAUGGGGGUGUCCCCUGUUCUGAAAGACACUAUGGGGGUGUCCCCUGUUCUGAAAGACACUAUGGGGGUGUCCCCUGUUCUGAAAGACACUAUGGGGGUGUCCCCUGUUCUGAAAGACACUAUGGGGGUGUCCCCUGUUCUGAAAGACCCUAUGGGGGUGUCCCCUGUUCUGAAAGACACUAUGGGGGUGUCCCCUGUUCUGAGAGACACUAUGGGGGUGUCCCCUGUUCUGAGAGACACUAUGGGGUGUGCCCUGUUCUGAAAUACACUCAUGGGGGUGUCCCCUGUUCUGAAAUACACUCAUGGGGGUGUCCCCUGUUCUGAAAGACACUAUGAGGGUGUCCCCUGUUCUGAAAGACACUAUGGGGGUGUCCCCUGUUCUGAAAGACACUAUGGGGGUGUCCCCUGUUCUGAGAGACACUAUGGGGGUGUCCCCUGUUCUGAGA